RNAcentral lists this transfer RNA (64 nucleotides) under Rachispoda cryptochaeta. RNAcentral describes it as "tRNA-Cys". The record is from RNAcentral. Lineage: Eukaryota; Metazoa; Arthropoda; Insecta; Diptera; Sphaeroceridae.
AGCUUUAUAGUCAAAAAUGAUGUUAGACUGCAAUUCUAAAGGAGUAAAUUAUUUACUAAGGCUU